CGCCUCCGUCCUCGUGAGUUCAAAGUGGAUUUUAACCGUUUACCUCAGACGACAGUUUUCAUUUCUAUGGCAAAUUCUAAGGUCAUUUUCUUGUUGUGUUUUGAUGUUUUCCAUUGGCUGAAGAGCAGAUUAAUUACCAUGCAAUUUGAAGAAUUGUGAUAAAAUACACAGAGGUGAAGUCAUGUGUCUUUCCAGAUGCCCAAUCUGUACCACUCAAAAAGUAAUGAAGUGACAGUGUACCAUGACAAAAAAUAUGAGCCUGAAGAGGAGAUUUGGGAAGAUGCUGUUUAUAAGUCUUUGCUUUGCCAGAUCACCUGUGGUCGAGAUGUCUGCUAACAAGAUGCCUUGUUGGUCUGGGCGAGUUUGAAGUCUCUCACAGACAGUCCAGAAGGUCUGGAGUCCAUCUUAGCUUUUAUUGAUGCUGUCAUCAGGUUUUAAGUACAGUAUGAGCCAGAAUGGAAGGGUGUUGGUGGCCAUAAGAAGACUGUGAGCUAAACCUACAACAAAAUUCAUAUUUGCAGUUUUCCUAGAAUAUUUUUUUCUAUUCAGAUGAAUAAAAUGACUUUUAAAUAUUA
Long non-coding RNA from Paramisgurnus dabryanus, 575 nucleotides. RefSeq lists it as uncharacterized. NCBI's taxonomy places the organism in Eukaryota, Metazoa, Chordata, Actinopteri, Cypriniformes, Cobitidae. The record is from RefSeq and is a predicted model, not a curated record.